CAGUCGCCACGGUAAUACGUAGGGUGCAAGCGUUAAUCGGAAUUACUGGGCGUAAAGCGUGCGCAGGCGGUUAUAUAAGUCAGAUGUGAAAUCCCCGGGCUCAACCUGGGAACUGCAUUUGAGACUGUAUGGCUAGAGUGUGUCAGAGGGGGGUAGAAUUCCACGUGUAGCAGUGAAAUGCAUAGAUAUGUGGAGGAAUACCGAUGGCGAAGGCAGCCCCCUGGGAUAACACUGACGCUCAUGCACGAAAGCGUGGGGAGCAAACAGGAUUAGAUACCCCCGUAGUCCCUGUCUCUUAUAC
RNAcentral lists this ribosomal RNA (301 nucleotides) under uncultured bacterium. Its description in RNAcentral is "partial 16S ribosomal RNA". It matches the Rfam family "Bacterial small subunit ribosomal RNA", at positions 509 to 807 of the family's 1533-position model. The record is from RNAcentral.